Molecule: ribosomal RNA, 788 nt
Filed under: uncultured Nitrosovibrio sp.
Lineage: Bacteria; Pseudomonadati; Pseudomonadota; Betaproteobacteria; Nitrosomonadales; Nitrosomonadaceae
Description: bacterial SSU rRNA
Rfam family: Bacterial small subunit ribosomal RNA
Source: RNAcentral
AGUUUGAUCAUGGCUCAGAAUCAACGCUGGCGGCGUGCCUAACACAUGCAAGUCGAACGAGAAAGCGGUAGCAAUACCUGAGUAAAGUGGCGCACGGGUGAGUAACACGUGACUAACCUACCCUGGAGUGGGGGAUAACUGAGGGAAACCUUAGCUAAUACCGCAUAACACCUACGGGUCAAAGGAGCAAUUCGCUUCAGGAGGGGGUCGCGGCCGAUUAGUUAGUUGGCGGGGUAAUGGCCCACCAAGACAGUGAUCGGUAUCCGGCCUGAGAGGGCGCACGGACACACUGGAACUGAAACACGGUCCAGACUCCUACGGGAGGCAGCAGUGGGGAAUUUUGCGCAAUGGGGGAAACCCUGACGCAGCAACGCCGCGUGGAGGAUGAAGUACUUCGGUACGUAAACUCCUUUCGAUCGGGACGAUAAUGACGGUACCGGAAGAAGAAGCCCCGGCUAACUUCGUGCCAGCAGCCGCGGUAAUACGAGGGGGGCAAGCGUUGUUCGGAAUUAUUGGGCGUAAAGGGUGCGUAGGCGGUUUGGUAAGUCUCUUGUGAAAUCUAUGGGCUCAACUCAUAGACUGCAAGGGAAACUGCCGGGCUCGAGUGUGGGAGAGGUGAGUGGAAUUCCUGGUGUAGCGGUGAAAUGCGUAGAUAUCAGGAGGAACACCUGUGGCGAAAGCGGCUCACUGGACCACAACUGACGCUGAUGCACGAAAGCUAGGGGAGCAAACAGGAUUAGAUACCCUGGUAGUCCUAGCCCUAAACGAUGACUGCUUGGUGUGGCGGG